GAUAAGUUGAUAGUGGGAAGUCGAGCCAUAUGGUGCAACAAUGAUUGUGCAAUGAUAACAGACCGAAAACAUAUAAAUAUGGGGGCAGUAGUGUGGUUUGGGUUCUAAGGUUCUUAAUUAUAUCAUAUCACAAUGCACCUUUUCUG
Molecule: non-coding RNA, 146 nt
Organism: Caenorhabditis elegans
Lineage: Eukaryota; Metazoa; Nematoda; Chromadorea; Rhabditida; Rhabditidae
Source: Ensembl